This 253-nucleotide ribosomal RNA is filed under the name uncultured bacterium. RNAcentral's name for it is "partial 16S ribosomal RNA". It matches the Rfam family "Bacterial small subunit ribosomal RNA", at positions 524 to 776 of the family's 1533-position model. The record is from RNAcentral.
CACGUAGGGCGCAAGCGUUGUCCGGAAUUAUUGGGCGUAAAGAGCUCGUAGGCGGUCUGUUGCGUCCGCUGUGAAAACUCGGGGCUUAACCCCGAGCCUGCAGUGGAUACGGGCAGACUAGAGGUAGGUAGGGGAGAAUGGAAUUCCCGGUGUAGCGGUGAAAUGCGCAGAUAUCGGGAGGAACACCGGUGGCGAAGGCGGUUCUCUGGGCCUAUACUGACGCUGAGGAGCGAAAGCGUGGGGAGCGAACAGG